GCCAUGGUGUUUAGAUUGAACAUGAAGUUAGAAUUCUUAAGUAUCAAAACUAAAUUCAUGUUCAAUCUAAACCCCAUGGC
Molecule: microRNA precursor, 80 nt
Organism: Homo sapiens (human)
Lineage: Eukaryota; Metazoa; Chordata; Mammalia; Primates; Hominidae
Source: Ensembl